Molecule: unclassified non-coding RNA, 266 nt
Filed under: Hevea brasiliensis (rubber tree)
Lineage: Eukaryota; Viridiplantae; Streptophyta; Magnoliopsida; Malpighiales; Euphorbiaceae
Source: RNAcentral
CUCCCUUUCAGCAGUUGUAUGUUCUAAAAUUACAGAAUAAGCCAGGUCAAUUGUUGCAGGUGAUGCAAGAUAAUCACAAAGAGUUCUAGAAGCGACGAAGGGGUUCAGGACGCUUCUUGAGAGAAGAGGAUCUCAACCUAGAACUCUAGAAGCACUACCAACGGCGGAAAGCUGGUGCAGCUGUAGCCGGGAACUGCCAGAACUGUUCCGAGACUGACUGAAGGUAGUAGACAUGGAAAGCAGUGAAGGAAUCCGUGUAAGCAGAG